CACGAACACCCUUUUGAACCUCGUGGAGGUGGUUUUCUCUUCGCUCUAUUGACUCUGCUGAAUCCAGAUUCUUGUACAGCACUGCAAACAUGUCAGACCCAACAAGACUGGAAAUGGCAUUGGCUGCAAUGUUCAGUGCCUACAUGUCCUACCAAGGAGAUGACAAUAAACUGACCAAAGAACAAUUUCUAAAAUUAGUGAAGAAUGAACUACCCUUACUUUCUCAGGGAAAAAGUGAAGAUGAGCUCUUCCAGUGUGUCGACCACAAUGAUGAUAAACGUGUGGACUUUGAAGAGUUCGCCUCACUGGUUGCUGGUUGCGCCUGUGCAAGCCAUGAUGCCCUCCAAGAGGUCAUGAAAGAACUGGACACAAAAGGCUGCCCAAAGUAAAGCACUGCUGAUGUGGAAAGAAACCCAAUAUAGGCCUUCCCUGGAUUCACAUUAAAACAAUAAAGUUAGUCAAAGUCAAA
Pundamilia nyererei is the source of this 469-nucleotide long non-coding RNA. RefSeq lists it as uncharacterized. The record is from RefSeq and is a predicted model, not a curated record. The transcript is spliced from 3 exons. NCBI's taxonomy places the organism in Eukaryota, Metazoa, Chordata, Actinopteri, Cichliformes, Cichlidae.